This 400-nucleotide ribosomal RNA is filed under the name uncultured bacterium. RNAcentral's name for it is "bacterial SSU rRNA". It matches the Rfam family "Bacterial small subunit ribosomal RNA", at positions 355 to 747 of the family's 1533-position model. The record is from RNAcentral.
UGAGGAAUUUUGCGCAAUGGGCGAAAGCCUGGCGCAGCAACGCCGCGUGACUGAUUAAGCUCUGAGGAGUGUAAAAGUCUGUCGUAGAGGAAGAAACUAUCCGAUAAGAAUAUUGUCGGAUACUGACGGUACUCUAUGAGAAAGCUCCGGCUAACUCCGUGCCAGCAGCCGCGGUAAUACGGGGGGAGCAAGCGUUGUCCGGAAUCACUGGGCGUAAAGAGCGCGUAGGCGUCCUAAUAAGUUUCUGGUGAAAUACUCCUGCUCAACGGGAGAAUUGCUGGAGAUACUGUUAGGAUUGAGUUAGAAGAGGGAAGCGGAAUUCCUGGUGUAGCGGUGAAAUGCGUAGAUAUCAGGAAGAACACCGAUGGCGAAGGCAGCUUCCUAGUCUAACACUGACGCU